UACAGAGGUCUCAAGCGUUGUUCGGAUUCAUUGGGCGUAAAGGGUGCGUAGGUGGCAUGGUAAGUCGGAUGUGAAAUCCCGGGGCUCAACCCCGGAACUGCAUUCGAUACUGCUGCGCUAGAGUACUGGAGAGGAGAUUGGAAUUUACGGUGUAGCAGUGAAAUGCGUAGAUAUCGUAAGGAAGACCAGUGGCGAAGGCGGAUCUCUGGACAGUUACUGACACUGAGACGCGAAGGCCAGGGUAGCGAACGGG
RNAcentral lists this ribosomal RNA (253 nucleotides) under uncultured bacterium. Its description in RNAcentral is "partial 16S ribosomal RNA". It matches the Rfam family "Bacterial small subunit ribosomal RNA", at positions 524 to 776 of the family's 1533-position model. The record is from RNAcentral.